GUGCUUGCUUCAGCAGCAUAUAAACUAAAAUUGUGAAUGAUACAGAGAAGAUUAGCAUGGUUUCCACAAGGAUGACUCGCAAAUUCAUGAAAUGUUUAAAACAAAA
Molecule: small nuclear RNA, 106 nt
Organism: Ochotona princeps (American pika)
Lineage: Eukaryota; Metazoa; Chordata; Mammalia; Lagomorpha; Ochotonidae
Source: Ensembl